CAGAACUUUGGCUCAUGCUACAAAUAUGGCCAAUAACUCUUCCACGUAUGGCGCAUGAUUCCCCUGACUGCAAGGAGGUGCCAAUUAACGACUUUUCAUCUUCUGUUCAGAUUGCCAUUGCAUUCCCAGACAUGGGUGCUAAGAGUCUAACUUUGGAUCUCUGACAAGUGGUUAAAUGUCAGCUCCCCAAGGAAGCCUUCUCCAACUGCUGGCAGACGCCAAGCUCCCUGCUUUACUUCACUUGUUGCUCUCUGCCUUUAUAACAUUGAACACAGCUGUCCGUGAUUAAAUAUUUAUUUGUGUAAUAUUUAGUCAAUUCCUCCCCUUCUCUCCUCAAACAUAUCUGUUCUCCAUGUCUGGCAGAGAAGAGAUAUUCAAUAAUUAUUUGCUUAAUGAAUUAAUGGCCUUUUGGUGUAUGUCCUGGGGUCAGUAUUUCUCAGCUUCAAUCCCUCGUAACUUCCUCAUCCACAACUACUGACAAUUCGAGUAUCUGUGCCAAAUCCAAAUUGUCUAAUUUAGUUAUAUUCAGCAUACUCCUAAUGGAGCCCAGAUGGAAAGUGGGCUCUUUCAAGUUCAAAGAAUUCUGAUCAUAAGGGUUGAAGUAUCAGGGUUUCUCAGAUAAACAAAAGUCCAAAGAACUAAAGCAUCCCAUUCUCCAAGUAAUUUGGUUUUCAAUGUCAUUAAGCAGACACUAUUCCCUCUGAUCAAUACCAUAAUAUCUCAGCCUCAGUUGACAAAUCAGCGUUAGGUUGCUGUCAGAUUCCACUAAGAACUAUGUGCACCUUCACUUGUCUAAGGUGCCACUGGGUCCAUCCAUCCAUCAUAAGGAAUCUUUGCCAUUUAAGGAGUGAUGUCGAGGCCGAGGCGGGUGGAUCACCUGAGGUCAGGAGUUCGAGGCCGGUCUAGCCAACAUGGUGAAACCCCGUCUCUACUAAAAAUAGAAAACAUUAGCCGGGCGUGGUGGUGCGCCUGUAAUCUCAGCUACUCUGGAGGCUGAGGUAGGAG
This 1005-nucleotide long non-coding RNA is filed under the name Homo sapiens (human). Its description in RNAcentral is "HSALNT0040479". Lineage: Eukaryota; Metazoa; Chordata; Mammalia; Primates; Hominidae. The record is from RNAcentral.